Pelobates cultripes (western spadefoot toad) is the source of this 669-nucleotide non-coding RNA. Lineage: Eukaryota; Metazoa; Chordata; Amphibia; Anura; Pelobatidae. The record is from the annotation of a GenBank genome assembly.
GUGAUAAGCUAAUAUAUUAAAAAGCUUGGGAAGUGACAGUUCCUUUUAUGUAAUUAUUGAGUGAUUCUAAAUGAACUGCACUGAUUAAUCUAUUUUACCAGUACAGAACCAGGAUUAUUCUCUAAACCAGGGGUUGGUGGUAGCGGCGGGCAGUGCUGGCCAGCGCUGAGAGGAAAUGAUUUUAGAGCACUCCCACCCAACAGUCUAAAAGUAGAAACCGCGUGGGACCAGAGGAGUGUGCCACAGCAGUACUGUGCCUUCUCAGCCUAGUUCCCACAAACAUCUUCACCAACACAAAUAUUUAAAACAGCCCACAACCACACACACAGAUUUACAGACAGCGCCCAUACCUAAAACCUCACAAGAAGCACCUCCACGCAACAUGAAAAAAUCGACCUCACACACAAUAUAUACAGCCCACAAUACAUGCAUAAACAAACACACACAAUAUAUACAACCCACAAUACAUGCAUAAACACACACACACAAUAUAUAUACACAACCCACAAUACAUGCAUAAACACACACACACACACACACUAUAUACAACCCACAAUACAUGCAUUAACACACACACAAUAUAUACAGCCCAUAAUACAUGCAUAAACACACACACACAAUAUAUACAACCCACAAUACAUGCAUAAACACACACACUAUAUACAGCCC